GCUAGAUGGCCCUGACGACUUUGCUAUUCCGAUGGAGGCAUGGGAGGCUAGAAAGGUUCGUUCAUCUUCCGAGCUUCUACCGAGGUCGAGGCUGUAUCCCAUGGACACCUCCCCGAAGACCGAGGAGAUUAGUAAGGAUAAGGAAGAUAAAGAAAUGGAAGAUGAAUUGUGCCGGAGAGUUAAGGAUUCAGUUCGAAUUAGCGUCGAGCUGUCCACGCCUAAGUCGGAAUUUCCAGAGUUGAAUGAACGCCGGAUGGCUACUGCUACUGGAUGUAGUUCGAGAAGUGGAAUCAAUGGUGCUCGGCCUCCUUUACUCAAGCCACCGCCGUCGAUGAGGCUUCCAAAUUUGGAUAAUACUUGCUCCACUUGGGACAUUUUGAAAGCUUUUGCUCCAUUAGUUGAUGAUGAACAUCAGGAGGAAGUAGGAGAACG
Molecule: unclassified non-coding RNA, 432 nt
Filed under: Hevea brasiliensis (rubber tree)
Lineage: Eukaryota; Viridiplantae; Streptophyta; Magnoliopsida; Malpighiales; Euphorbiaceae
Source: RNAcentral